RNAcentral lists this ribosomal RNA (892 nucleotides) under uncultured bacterium. Its description in RNAcentral is "bacterial SSU rRNA". It matches the Rfam family "Bacterial small subunit ribosomal RNA", at positions 1 to 894 of the family's 1533-position model. The record is from RNAcentral.
CCUUAGAGUUUGAUCCUGGCUCAGGAUGAACGCUGGCGGCGUGCCUAAUACAUGCAAGUCGAACGAAUCUCUUUUAGAGAUGAGUGGCGAACGGGUGAGUAAUACAUAGGUAACCUGCCCCUGUGCGGGGGAUAACAGGAGGAAACUCCUGCUAAUACCGCAUAGCCAUGAGCACCGCAUGGAGCUCAUGCCAAAUAUCCUUUAUGGGAUAGCGCAGGGAUGGACCUAUGGCGCAUUAGCUGGUUGGCGGGGCAACGGCCCACCAAGGCAACGAUGCGUAGCCGGCCUGAGAGGGCGGACGGCCACAUUGGGACUGAGACACGGCCCAGACUCCUACGGGAGGCAGCAGUAGGGAAUUUUCGGCAAUGGGGGAAACCCUGACCGAGCAACGCCGCGUGAGCGAAGAAGGCCUUCGGGUCGUAAAGCUCUGUUGUAAAGGAAGAACGGCGCAUACAGGAAAUGGUAUGCGAGUGACGGUACUUUACCAGAAAGCCACGGCUAACUACGUGCCAGCAGCCGCGGUAAUACGUAGGUGGCGAGCGUUAUCCGGAAUCAUUGGGCGUAAAGAGGGAGCAGGCGGCCGCAAGGGUCUGUGGUGAAAGACCGAAGCUAAACUUCGGUAAGCCAUGGAAACCGGGCGGCUAGAGUGCGGAAGAGGAUCGUGGAAUUCCAUGUGUAGCGGUGAAAUGCGUAGAUAUAUGGAGGAACACCAGUGGCGAAGGCGACGGUCUGGGCCGCAACUGACGCUCAUUCCCGAAAGCGUGGGGAGCAAAUAGGAUUAGAUACCCUAGUAGUCCACGCCGUAAACGAUGGUCACUAAGUGUCGGGGGUCAAACCCCGGUGCUGCAGUCAACGCAAUAAGUGACCCGCCUGAGUAGUACGUUCGCAAGAA